This is a non-coding RNA of Oryzias latipes (Japanese medaka), 4865 nucleotides long. The record is from RefSeq and is a predicted model, not a curated record. Lineage: Eukaryota; Metazoa; Chordata; Actinopteri; Beloniformes; Adrianichthyidae.
UCCAACAUCACCCAUCAGGCCUGGAAUCCGAAGGAGAAGAGAAAACGAGGAAGACCAAGGAACACGUGGAGAAGGAACCUGGAGGCUGAUGUCAAUAAGACCGGUCACUCCUGGAGGGCGCUAGAAAGGAUCGUUGGGACGGUAAACGAUGGCGGGGAGCUGACGAUGUUCUCUACCCAACCAGAGGAAAAGGACGGACAGUGGACUGACUGACUGAAAGGACCGUCCGGGACCGAAGACGAUGACGGAGAGCUGAGGAUGACCUAUACCCAACCGGAGGUACAAGGACGGACGAUCGACAGACCGACCGAUUUAUGAAUGGCCUAAAUAGGAUCCAUUGGCCUCAAAAUCAUUGAACACACAACAAGAAAUGAGCAACCGCGGCAGGGCCACCGUUGGACAAGAGCAUCUAGUUGUAAUGGUCGAAACGCUCAAUGAUUACUUCUGAUGAUGUGUGCUCUAAAUGGGAUGGCAGAGUAGACCAAAGUACUGCAGGUGCAUUCUGGGCCACAAUGCUUUGAAACUUAGUUCCAUCAUUAGUUCAACACAAUCUCAUGUAUUUUAACCCAACCCUCACAGAACGUUUAAGCCCUCUUGUGGGGCACCCUCGGGGCAACUUCCUUUAUUUUCAUCGCCUAACCCUAACCAGAGGACACUUUUUUUUAAACAUUUGGGCUACUGCAACCCAAAUCACAAAUCCAUGAAAAAUGAACCUGGUGUUUGUUGAACUUUGUUAAUCUUAAACCUCUUGGCCACUUUUGACAAAGAAAAAGAAAGUUUCAGCCAAAUCCAUCAUAAAUCAGCAAAAAUUCCCCCCUGUGGCUGAGCGGCACGUGCGAUUGUGCUUUAAAACUUACAAUGGAUUACUCAUUUCAAAGCAGACAGACCAGACAAGUUCAAACACGACACAUCCUUCUCUGUCUCAAUCUCACCAAAAGAUAAUAUGGUUCUCCUCAUGUGUGAGCUUAAACCAGAACCGAGCGGACCGCGCCACCUGUGUGUGCACUCCAACCAGAAGGGACAGGAAGUGGACAGACCGCUCAACGUGCACAGCAGACCUCCAACGGCUUGAAGGUGUGACGGCUGGCAGCGGAUGUGGAUGACACAUGUUUGUGUUAACAAGCAGGAUGGGCCUUGCAGCGAGCCUGUCAUCCGCCUGUCUGAACCCUGUGGCUUGUUUCACACCUGGAAGGGCAAAAUUUGCACCUGAGCCGUUCUCAGACUCGUCAGACCGACUGAGCGCGCAGGCUUUUGUGUUCCCGCCGCUUUUGUCUUCCAUUCACAGCAAGCAGACACAAGUGGGGUUGGAGGGCUUUCUGAAAAAAGUUGGAUAAGCUGCCAGCCCCCCCUCCAUCCGAACCUGCCCCGACAGAUUCCUUUGAGGAUCCACUUGUAAUUAGAAAACAUCUAAGCUUAUUUAAACCUCUGAAAAUGUCCCAAAAGGGACUCCCAUUUGCAUCCAAACCUCCUCUGCCAGCAGCACACAUGUGUGGGCUUGAGGAGGAACUCUUGUUAUUGUUUACAGAUGGGUUACCAAGGGUGAAAUGCAGCAGGGACUGCUCAGGAGAAAGUCAGGAACAAUAAAAAAGUGGCUCAUGAAGGAGCAGAAGAGGAGAUGGACAGUCCAGCUGCAACCCAGAGAGACCAGAAUGCUCGAGUUGGAAAGAUGGAAUGAAGAAAAGUCAGCCAAAUCAGAGAGUUGCAAAUCCUUUCGGGAAGCAGGGGCAGGAAGACCAAAAAGGGCAAAUGAGAGACACUUUUUACCCAGCGCUGGGUUGGACGUGAGAGGAGCUCGUGACGUCCAGAGGCCCGUCUUCCCAAAACCCGCCUAAGCACUCUGAGAACUCGGACUUGGAUGAGUCACAGCCACUGACCUUUCUAAUGUGGCUUCUAAACAAGGAGAGGUUCUAGGAUUUCUAAGGACCUUUUGGGGCUUUUCUCCAGCAGUGUGUUGUGUUGGUGGAUGAAUGUCCUCAACACACUGCAGGAGAGCGUUUGAAUAACUGGGAAACAGUGAAUCCCCUUUUCUCCUUCCAAACUUUGGAGCACAAAGCAGAGUUGUAGUCACGAAUUCCUCCUUUAAAAAUGUUGGAAGCAGCUGAUGGAGUCUUCCCAGAGGACGUCAGGCCCAUUAAAGGUUUCUCACAUGCUGCUGAAGUGAGCCCCGCGUGGACUGUUAAAAUCCAAAUGUGCUUUUUGUCAUAAAUUACGGGUCUUUUUAGCUGCAGCUGCUAGAUAAAAACAAACGUGUGACCCUAAAUCUUCAGGCGACUGUUCCCAUGCUUCAUGCAUACACUUAUCAAUUAAUAACACUGCUUGAAAGGUAAUCCCAUUUAAAAACUAAAAACAUGCUCCUCUCAGUCCUCUGCACAGAAAGACCAUUGUAAGAGCAGCCCCUUAAAGCCAGGCUGCACCAGUUGUGGAGCAGAGCUCCAGUGACCCAACUUGGCAGAACCGGAGGAGGCCUUUGACAUUUUACUGUGGAAACUUGCAGUGGGUGUUGGCCCCAUCAGUGCGGAGACUCGCCGGCUGAUGAAUACUGCAAAACAGAUGUCCUAACUUCAGAGAUUCCCUCCAGUUCUGCUGUGAGAUAGCAAACAGGCAUGGCAGCUUUGAUCAACAUGAAAAUAAACAACCAGAUUUGGGAAACGACCCAGUCGAUGGAUAUUGAUUUGUGCAACUUGAUAGAUUUGUAUUCGAAUAGCAGAGUAAGUUGAUUUGAAUUGUUGUUUGUUGCAUUUUGAACCAGCAUCGUGCUUCUUGAAGCCACAGAUGAGAUCUCAAAUGAACGAAAAUGGAACAAUCAAGGGAGAGGUUUCAUGUAUGCAGACGGUGUAAACCUGCUGAGCACAGGAUGCUGGCGCUGGUGGCAGGAAAACGUCUCAGGAGGAGUGUUCUCCAGAAAUACCAGAGACUGGCAGAAACUUUGAUUUGCAUUCCUGUGUGCAGCUGGCUGCUCUGCAGCAAAAAUCUGACUACAGAAUUUCCUCUAGGAGCUAAAGUUACACGAAGCUCUGACCGAGGCUGCUGUGGGAGCCUUUAGGGCUUCACUCUGGUUUCACAGUUGUCACACCCCGAAUCUUGCAUUGAGCAAAAAUGUCAUCAACUAUUCCCACUCGUCAUCUCUGGGUUUGUCUCUCCUCCCGUUGAGGCUCUCAGGGCAUCUCCGUCUGUUUGCUGCCAUGAAGCUUUACUCGGUGACUAUAUGUGUGUAGAGGCGGCGUUCUGAGUCUCAGCUGGGUUCAAACGCCCAUGUGGGGCUAAAGUCCUGAAAACAGGUAAGCCACUGCACACCCGAAGGCGAACCAACAUGCUCACGUGUUUGUGUUCACAGAUGUGUGGGUACAUGUGCCAGAACCAUGGGGGGGUGGGUGAAGGUAAAGAAGACAGGAAGUGUGGUUCUUUACCAUCAUUCCACCAUCAUGCGACCAUCGUCUCUGAGGGCCGCAUGUGAGAGCCUGUGGUGCCGCCCAACACAACCUGCAGGGAAAUGAGGUUCUGAGAAGAGUGAAAACACACGGUAAAGCAUCAGGGAACCCGUGAGACCGGCCCAAAUGUUCCGUGACGGAUCCUCGCGGCUGUCUUACUCGUGUAUGUACCAGAGCCAAACAAGGCGAAAGUCGCCGCCCGCCGCUGUAAUUAUGUGCUUGUACAUGUCUCCUGUGUUUUCCUGCAGUUGAUGGUUGGAAUGAAGCAGAACUCAGACAAAGCUGUCACAACGCUUCCCAAUCACUGCCUACACUGCUGUGUUCUUCACAACACACUUUUGUGUGUUUGCUGAGGGCGUGCUCUGUUGUCGGCGUCUCGCUGGAACAAUACAAGUUUCUGGACAAAAAUGCAUCACGGAGGAAUCCUUUUGUGUGGUCCCACUUGAAUUUUUCCAUUCUCUUCCAUUCCUCCCACUGCCUUUUUGUCUGUCUGUGCUCACACACACACACAAACACACACCCAUGCACACAAACUGUGUUCAUAUUUUCCACGCCAAAUCCUCCAGUUGUGACUUCAUGCAGACCCUGCAGGCUCAAGGAUCCACUUUUUCCCGCUUUAAACUCUUGCGGCGUAUUUCAGAUUAGAAGGCUUCAGGUUGUUGACCUUUGAAUUAGUCUAAACACUUGUUUACUUUCUCCUGCCGGAGGCUGUGAGCCAUUUCAUUUCAGUGAUUCACACCCAGAUGUUGAAAUGUCAGAAGUAUUUUGUGGUUUCUGGAUUUUUAAUUAAUCUCUUGGGUAAUCUGCACAAUCAGUAAUCGCUGCUGGUUUUUAAGUCAGAAGAACCAAAUCACGAAAUCUUUAUUCUAGAGUAACUUGAUCUGAAGCUGCUAAGAAUAUUUGGAAACAAAAAUGUAAAGUCAAUCUGUGUUCAAAUCAUGAAGAGAUUUAAGUGACUUGAUGCAAAGCCCAGGUUUCUGUUUUUUAAAAAAGAGAGGAAGAUUUAUUGUAUCAACUCUGAUGAGAUUCAAACUGCUGAAACCUGGAUGGUGAAAAUGUUUUCUAUUUUUAAAAACUCGAAAGGAACUCUGGAGCCAGAAGGAAACGAGAAGCUGCUUUCUGAGCAGAGUCCAGCUCAGCCAAAGCGGAAGUUCAUGUGGCUGUCCUUCAAAAUAAAUGAGCGUUAAAAAAAAAAGUGAAGUAGUUUCUGUGUGGAGUUUGCAUGUGUGGGUUCAGUCCAAAAACAGACUUCAUAGGUUCACAGCUGUCUCUAAAUUGUUGGUUGUGGUUGUGUGUCUGUGUGGACCUCUGCUGGACUGGGAAACCGUCCAGGUUGAACCCCACCUUUACCUGAGAGUGUACCCAGGUAAACUCCAGUAACCCCAAACCCUAAACGGGAUAAGCAGGUUAAAAAGAUGGAUUGAUUAUGGAGACACA